Molecule: microRNA precursor, 87 nt
Filed under: Drosophila ananassae
Lineage: Eukaryota; Metazoa; Arthropoda; Insecta; Diptera; Drosophilidae
Description: microRNA dan-mir-92a precursor
Gene: dan-mir-92a
Source: miRBase by way of RNAcentral
AUACAAAUUUCCCGUAGGACGGGAAGGUGUCAAGGUUUUGAAUUAAAUUAAACAUUGCACUUGUCCCGGCCUAUGGGCGGUUUGUCA